Pelobates cultripes (western spadefoot toad) is the source of this 306-nucleotide non-coding RNA. The record is from the annotation of a GenBank genome assembly. Lineage: Eukaryota; Metazoa; Chordata; Amphibia; Anura; Pelobatidae.
AUGAAGGUGUGCAGGAUAGAGUCUUAGUGUGGUCUUCCAGAAGGCUACCUUUGCAGACGAUCAGGCUUGCUCACUGAAGGAAUGGGCUUUCAAAGUUGGGGAAUCAGGCUUUGCAGACGAUCAGGCUUGCUCACUGAAGGAAUGGGCUUGCAAAGUUGGGGAAUCAGGCUUUGCAGACGAUCAGGCUUGCUCACUGAAGGAAUGGGCUUGCAAAGUUGGGGAAUCCGGCUUUGCAGAUGAUCAGGCUUGCUCACUGAAGGAAUGGGCUUGCAAAGUUGGGGAAUCAGGCUUUGCAGACGAUCAGGC